GAUGAACGCUAGCGGCAGGCUUAACACAUGCAAGUCGAGGGGCAGCGCGGGAUAGCAAUAUCCUGGCGGCGACCGGCGGAAGGGUGCGUAACGCGUGAGCGACAUGCCCGUUGCCCGGGGACAACCGGUGGAAACGCCGACUAAUCCCCGAUGGGAUAUUGUGCCGCAUGGCACGAUAUUGAAAGUUACGGCGGCGACGGAUUGGCUCGCGUCCGAUUAGCUGGUUGGCGGGUAACGGCCCACCAAGGCUGCGAUCGGUAGGGGUUCUGAGAGGAAGGCCCCCCACAAUGGGACUGAGACACGGCCCAUACUCCUACGGGAGGCAGCAGUGAGGAAUAUUGGUCAAUGGGCGGGAGCCUGAACCAGCCAUGCCGCGUGCGGGAAGGAGGCCCUAUGGGCUGUGAACCGCUUUUGCCUGGGGGCAAUAAGGGCGUCGCGCACGUCCGAUGAGAGUACCAGGCGAAUAAGCAUCGGCUAACUCCGUG
This 485-nucleotide ribosomal RNA is filed under the name uncultured bacterium. Its description in RNAcentral is "partial 16S ribosomal RNA". It matches the Rfam family "Bacterial small subunit ribosomal RNA", at positions 28 to 507 of the family's 1533-position model. The record is from RNAcentral.